This 468-nucleotide ribosomal RNA is filed under the name uncultured Neisseria sp. Its description in RNAcentral is "bacterial SSU rRNA". It matches the Rfam family "Bacterial small subunit ribosomal RNA", at positions 336 to 796 of the family's 1533-position model. The record is from RNAcentral. Lineage: Bacteria; Pseudomonadati; Pseudomonadota; Betaproteobacteria; Neisseriales; Neisseriaceae.
UUCCUACGGGAGGCAGCAGUGGGGAAUUUUGGACAAUGGGCGCAAGCCUGAUCCAGCCAUGCCGCGUGUAUGAAGAAGGCCUUCGGGUUGUAAAGUACUUUUGUCAGGGAAGAAAAGCCUGAGGAUAACACCCUCAGGUCAUGACGGUACCUGAAGAAUAAGCACCGGCUAACUACGUGCCAGCAGCCGCGGUAAUACGUAGGGUGCGAGCGUUAAUCGGAAUUACUGGGCGUAAAGCGAGCGCAGACGGUUAUUUAAGCAAGAUGUGAAAGCCCCGGGCUCAACCUGGGAACUGCGUUUUGAACUGGGUAACUAGAGUGUGUCAGAGGGGGGUAGAAUUCCACGUGUAGCAGUGAAAUGCGUAGAGAUGUGGAGGAAUACCGAUGGCGAAGGCAGCCCCCUGGGAUAACACUGACGUUCAUGCUCGAAAGCGUGGGUAGCAAACAGGAUUAGAUACCCUGGUAGUCC